CGCCGCGUGAGGGACGACGGCCUCCGGGUCGUAAACCUCUUUUAGUAGGGAAGAAGCGAAAGUGACGGUACCUGCAGAAAAAGCACCGGCUAACUACGUGCCAGCAGCCGCGGUAAUACGUAGGGUGCAAGCGUUGUCCGGAAUUAUUGGGCGUAAAGAGCUCGUAGGCGGUUUGUCGCGUCUGCUGUGAAAACCCGAGGCUCAACCUCGGGCCUGCAGUGGGUACGGGCAGACUAGAGUGCGGUAGGGGAGAAUGGAAUUCCUGGUGUAGCGGUGGAAUGCGCAGAUAUCAGGAGGAACACCGAUGGCGAAGGCAGUUCUCUGGGCCGUAACUGACGCUGAGGAGCGAAAGCGUGGGGAGCGAACAGGAUUAGAUACCCUGGUAGUCCACGCCGUAAACGUUGGGCGCUAGAUGUGGGGACCAUUCCACGGUUUCCGUGUCGCAGCUAACGCAUUAAGCGCCCCGCCUGGGGAGUACGGCCGCAAGGCUAAAACUCAAAGGAAUUGACGGGGGCCCGCACAAGCGGCGGAGCAUGCGGAUUAAUUCGAUGCAACGCGAAGAACCUUACCAAGGCUUGACAUAUACGAGAACGCUCUAGAAAUAGAGAACUCUUUGGAC
RNAcentral lists this ribosomal RNA (619 nucleotides) under Leifsonia sp. Ri3Pt_4367. RNAcentral describes it as "bacterial SSU rRNA". It matches the Rfam family "Bacterial small subunit ribosomal RNA", at positions 395 to 1027 of the family's 1533-position model. Lineage: Bacteria; Bacillati; Actinomycetota; Actinomycetes; Micrococcales; Microbacteriaceae. The record is from RNAcentral.